GCCGGGAAGGCGGGCCAGUCGAAGAAGGCCGGGAGCGGUUCGCUUCUUUCUGCCGGAGCAGGCGAGGACGGGGCGGCCGGGGGGCCGAGGCGACGCCGGUGGGUCUCGGUUGCUUAGGCCGUUUUACGGGAGCCCCCGAAUACGCAUGCGCUUCGGCUCACGAGGAGCGGGCGCUCGGUUUGCGUCGGGCGCAUGCGCAGUGCAUGAUCGUUCCCCUGAGACGCCGGCCCUUCCCCCGCUGAACGAGCUGCUAAUGCGGGAGGCUGGAGGCAGCAGUGGGGAUGUGCUUGCGGCCGGGUCAGAGGAAUCGACGCGAUGCAUCACGUUCUUUGGAUUGGCCCCGCAGUGUUUGUGACAAAGAGCAACAGAUUGCUUUGCAUGUCACAAAAUAUUUGACGGCAGUGAUAACGAGAGAGACUUCUGCAGCCCUGUGCAGCAAUGGCCUCUCUGCUGCUGAGGAAUGUCGUCUUGAGUUCGGCCCAUUUCCUGAACCGUAGUGCGGCCUCUCGCUCGUUCUUCUCCUGGCUGCCUGGGCGUUUGCAGACUGUCAGUCCAUGGGGAGCCUGUAUUACUCCCAAGCUGCAAGCCACGGCUCUGCUGCCAUUUCUCAUGAGAUGCCCUCUUCCCAGUCUGCAGCCUGUUGCAGGCCUGAAGAGCAAAGUGGUCCUCAGAAAGCGCUGCAAAGAUUGCUUUUUUGUCCGCAGACGUGGGCGUUUGUAUGUGUACUGUAAAACUCACCCAAGACACAAGCAGAGGAAGAUGUAGCUCUUCAACCUGAUGAGAGAGAGUCACAAGUGUGGCUGGCGAAGACAGCCACCGAACUGAUCCUGUCUGCAAAAAGCUGAUGAUUUGCACAAAGUGCAGCUGUUAGAAAUAAGGAGUUAUUCAGGUUGGAGGCUCUACCUAGUUUUAGCAACCACUUCUGGCAUAUACUGUGCCAGCCAUUAUAGACUUAAAAGGGGGGAAAAAUGCUGCUUUUUUAACAAAUUAUGUUCUGUCAUUAUUACAUUUGAUCUCUUUACAAUGAAUAUUUUUGUCCAAUGACACCAAUAAUAUUUUCAAUCUGAAUAUAAUAGUUGAUUUUGGGAGGAUUUUUAGAUAAUGUCAAGAUGGGUAGCCAUGUUAAUCUGUUUGUAGCAGUAGAAAAGAGCAAGAGUCCAGUAGCAGCUUAAAAACUGACAAAAUUUGUGAGUCGCUGCUCACUUUUUCAUGGACCUGAAGAACUGACCAGUGACUCACAGAAGCUCCUCCCCUUAGCCUUUAAGGUGCUACUGGAUGCUGCUUUUUUACUGUUUUGGACAAUGUGUAUAAGAGCACAGUGUCAAAACAAAGAAUGUGGUCCAGCAAAAGUUAAGUGCUCAUAGGUUCCACUGAAAAUAUGGUAGUUAAGCAUGUGAAAUAAAUGUUGUUGAAAUAAAUGAUUCCUGCAUUGUUCUCAGAA
Long non-coding RNA from Heteronotia binoei (common prickly gecko), 1441 nucleotides. RefSeq lists it as uncharacterized. Lineage: Eukaryota; Metazoa; Chordata; Lepidosauria; Squamata; Gekkonidae. The record is from RefSeq and is a predicted model, not a curated record. The transcript has 2 exons.